RNAcentral lists this ribosomal RNA (482 nucleotides) under uncultured bacterium. RNAcentral's name for it is "partial 16S ribosomal RNA". It matches the Rfam family "Bacterial small subunit ribosomal RNA", at positions 30 to 507 of the family's 1533-position model. The record is from RNAcentral.
AUUGAACGCUGGCGGCAUGCUUUACACAUGCAAGUCGAACGGUAACAGCACUUCGGUGGCUGACGAGUGGCGAACGGGUGAGUAAUACAUCGGAACGUGCCUAGUAGUGGGGGAUAACUACUCGAAAGAGUAGCUAAUACCGCAUGAGAUCUAAGGAUGAAAGCAGGGGACCUUCGGGCCUUGCGCUACUAGAGCGGCUGAUGGCAGAUUAGGUAGUUGGUGGGAUAAAAGCUUACCAAGCCGACGAUCUGUAGCUGGUCUGAGAGGACGACCAGCCACACUGGGACUGAGACACGGCCCAGACUCCUACGGGAGGCAGCAGUGGGGAAUUUUGGACAAUGGGCGCAAGCCUGAUCCAGCAAUGCCGCGUGCAGGAUGAAGGCCUUCGGGUUGUAAACUGCUUUUGUACGGAACGAAAAGCCCUCUUCUAAUACAGGGGGGUCAUGACGGUACCGUAAGAAUAAGCACCGGCUAACUACGUG